AGAGGGGGAUAACGUUUGGAAACGAACGCUAAUACCGCAUGAUAUUAUUGAGCUGCAUGGCUUGAUAAUCAAAGGAGCAAUCCGCUGAAAGAUGGGCUCGCGUCCGAUUAGGUAGUUGGCGGGGCAACGGCCCACCAAGCCGACGAUCGGUAGCCGGACUGAGAGGUUGAACGGCCACAUUGGGACUGAGACACGGCCCAGACUCCUACGGGAGGCAGCAGUGAGGGAUAUUGGUCAAUGGGGGAAACCCUGAACCAGCAACGCCGCGUGAGGGAAGACGGUUUUCGGAUUGUAAACCUCUGUCCUCUGUGAAGAUGAUGACGGUAGCAGAGGAGGAAGCUCCGGCUAACUACGUGCCAGCAGCCGCGGUAAUACGUAGGGAGCAAGCGUUGUCCGGAUUUACUGGGUGUAAAGGGUGCGUAGGCGGCUUUGCAAGUCAGAAGUGAAAUCCAUGGGCUCAACCCAUGAACUGCUUUUGAAACUGCAGAGCUUGAGUGGAGUAGAGGUAGGCGGAAUUCCCGGUGUAGCGGUGAAAUGCGUAGAGAUCGGGAGGAACACCAGUGGCGAAGGCGGCCUGCUGGGCUCUAACUGACGCUGAGGCACGAAAGCGUGGGUAGCAAACAGGAUUAGAUACCCUGGUAGUCCACGCUGUAAACGAUGAUUACUAGGUGUGGGUGGACUGACCCCAUCCGUGCCGGAGUUA
RNAcentral lists this ribosomal RNA (703 nucleotides) under uncultured bacterium. Its description in RNAcentral is "bacterial SSU rRNA". It matches the Rfam family "Bacterial small subunit ribosomal RNA", at positions 135 to 854 of the family's 1533-position model. The record is from RNAcentral.